This 164-nucleotide ribosomal RNA is filed under the name uncultured bacterium. Its description in RNAcentral is "partial 16S rRNA". It matches the Rfam family "Bacterial small subunit ribosomal RNA", at positions 355 to 511 of the family's 1533-position model. The record is from RNAcentral.
UAGGGAAUCUUCCACAAUGGACGGAAGUCUGAUGGAGCAACGCCGCGUGAGUGAAGAAGGGUUUCGGCUCGUAAAACUCUGUUGUUAAAGAAGAACAUAUCUGAGAGUAACUGUUCAGGUAUUGACGGUAUUUAACCAGAAAGCCACGGCUAACUACGUGCCAC